RNAcentral lists this ribosomal RNA (1992 nucleotides) under Triticum aestivum (bread wheat). Its description in RNAcentral is "partial small subunit ribosomal RNA". Lineage: Eukaryota; Viridiplantae; Streptophyta; Magnoliopsida; Poales; Poaceae. The record is from RNAcentral.
AUGGAGUUUCGGCACGGUGGCUCGCCGGGGGGCGGCGGGGGCGACGGCAAGCCGCGCGAGAAGUUCUCGGUAUACCAGAACCCGUCCCUCACCCGCGCGCUCGCCUCCCGCAGCGUCCGCCCCUCCCUCCCCGUCCUCCUCCUCCUUGCGCUCUCCCCCAUCGCAUCUGCCUCAUCCCUCAUGGCCCUGUCGUCCCGGGAGGGGCAGCUCUUCAAGGUCGCUGGUGGCGCGGGUCUAUCCAUGGCUGCUGUCGUGUUUGCCGUCAGGUUGGUGGAGGCAGCCCUGGGCCUUGUCGCACUUUUGACACUGCCAGCGUUCUUCAGGGCACUGGUGCUGUACAAUGGGGGGAAGGCAUUGGCCAAGGAGGACAAGGUUGUGUUGUCCGAACGCCAACUGGGGCUUCUUGGGUUAAAGACCACAGGUUCAGAAGGAUCUCCCAUGGGUGAGCAAACCAAGAAGCCUCCCAAGGCAAAGCCAUCAACACCCUCAGAGCCAAUUGUUCCUAUCAGGAGAUCUUCGUUCAGCUACACACCGUCACGGGUGCAACCAAGGAUUGGCUCCAGCCAUUUGAGCCCUGGUAGUGAGAGAUUGACCACAUUACAAAUGUCGCCUUCCACUCCACUACAGAAGCCUGUUUCUUCCCCUUCAACUCCAUGGUCGAGGAAAAGCUCAGGCAGUGCCAAAGGCAUACAAACUGAGGCGAUGUUGGACCAGUUCUUGGCUACCUUGGAUGAAAAUAUUGAUAAUGUCACGGAUUCAGCCAAUAAAACUGCAACGCCUCCAGCAACCAUCACGAGCUUUGGCAUUGCCAGCCCUGUCUCAAUCACCACAUCAACUACCCCUUCUGGUGCUACACGGAGCACACCUUUGAGGCCUGUGAGGAUGUCUCCUGGCUCCCAUCAGAAGUACAGCACGCCUCCGAAAAAGGGCGAGGGUGAGCUUCCACCGCCAAUGUCCCUGGAGCAGGCAGUGGAUGCCUUUGAAAAUCUGGGUGUGUAUCCUGAGAUUGAGCAGUGGCGAAACAAUCUCAGGCAGUGGUUCUCUUCAGUCCUGAUGAGCCCGCUUGUUGAAAAGAUUAAAUCAAGCCAUAUUCAGGUUAAGCAAACAACAGCUAGUAUUGGAGCUUCAGUUAAUGUUAGCCAAGUUGGAAGCGAUCUGCCAAGCACGACACCACCAGUUAGCUUAUCUCCACUUGGUGGGACUAAAGAUUGGCAGCCAACUGUCACCGUUGAUGAGGAUGGUAUUCUUAAUCAAAUGCGGGCUGCACUUCUGCAAUCUCGUAAUGCUCCUGUUGCCCAAACCUUCGGGAGCCCACAACAGCCACAGUCAAACCCCCUCCUUCCAGCUAUUCAAGCAUGUAUCGAUGCAAUUACAGAGCACCAGAGGCUUAACGCUCUGAUGAAGGGAGAGCUUAUAAAAGGCUUGCUGCCACAGAGUAGCGUCCGUGCUGAUUAUACUGUUCACAGAGUUCAAGAACUUGCUGAAGGAACGUGCUUGAAGAAUUAUGAUUACAUGGGCUAUAGAGAUGGCUAUGGUAAAUCAGAGAAAAAAUGGACCAGCGAGCUGCCAACUGACUCACAUCUUCUUCUCUACUUGUUUGCUGCUUUCCUUGAACAUCCAAAGUGGAUGCUUCAUGUUGAUCCAACCUCCUACUCUGGUGCCCAGUCUAGCAAAAAUCCUUUAUUUCUAGGAAUCCUUCCACCGAAAGAGAGGUUUCCAGAGAAGUAUGUUGCUUUGAUAUCUGGCGUUCCAGCAAUUAUUCACCCAGGAGCUCUUGUACUGGCUGUGGGCAAGCAGAGUCCUCCAGUUUUUGCUCUAUACUGGGACAAGAAGCUGCAAUUUUCUCUUCAGGGAAGAACAGCACUGUGGGACGCCAUUUUGCUUCUAUGCCACCAAAUCAAAGUUGGUUACGGCGGUAUUGUCAGGGGUACCCACAUCGGGUCUUCUGCCUUGAACAUCCUUUCCGUCCUUGAUUCAGACAUGGAGAGCUGA